RNA transcript from Andrographis paniculata, 2293 nucleotides. It is a transcript of the gene named signal peptide peptidase-like 2, with no coding region annotated. NCBI's taxonomy places the organism in Eukaryota, Viridiplantae, Streptophyta, Magnoliopsida, Lamiales, Acanthaceae. The record is from RefSeq and is a predicted model, not a curated record. The transcript has 16 exons.
GGUGAAGUCAGAUGUCACAGAACUGUAAUUUAAUCAGUUCAUCGUAUGGAAUACCUCUCUAUGUUUCAUCUUCCUAAGCAAAACACAUAAUCAUUAUCCUCCAUGCAGAUCUCUCGGCUAAAUUACUGAUUUCGUUUCUCUGAUCCCUUCACUUGCUCGGUGCCCAUACGCCGGGUGUGAUCUAGAGCAGUAUUUCAAGAGGAUCGCCAUCCAAUUUUCGAUUGUAAAACCCUAAUUUAAGAAUGGCCGGUGCUUCUCGGUACGGGUUGUCUUUGGCUUUACUAGUCGUACUCCAGGCUAGCAUUCUCUUCUUGUUCUUCUCCCACCCAUCAAUUGCCGUUGGGGAUGACAUUUUACACGCCGCACCCACUGCUGAUUCCCCCGCUUGCAGGAACGACUUUCGAUUGGUCAAGAUCAAGAGGUGGGUGAAUGGUGUUGAGAAGGAGCCAAUUGGUGGGGCGACAGCUGAUUUUGGUGCCGUAUUACCUGAACAAGCUAAACAAGGCCACAGCUAUCCAGCCACUUUUUCAAAGCCCUUAAACUGCUGUUCGCAGUUGUCUUCCACGCUACCGAGCUCCAUUCUAUUGGCAACACGUGGUGAUUGUGUUUUUACAACUAAGGCUAAAGUUGCGCAAGCUGCAGGAGCAGUAGGUUUGGUAGUGAUAAAUGACGAUGAAGGUCUUGUGCAGAUGGGUUGCGAUAAUGAUACUGAUCUGAACAUUACAAUACCUGUUGUUAUGAUUUCUAAGUCAGGAGGAGAAGAACUAAAGAAAGCCAUGGAUGCAGGGGCAAAAGUGGAACUUUUGUUAUACUCUCCUAACAGACCAAUUUUAGAUUACUCAGUGAUAUUGUUAUGGCUGAUGGCUGUGGGAACAAUAGUUUGUGCUUCACUUUGGUCUGAAAUCACUGGAUCAGAGCGAAGUGAUGAGCGCUAUAAUAUAUUGUCACCAAAGGAACCUGAUGCUGUGGCAGCCAGUGAUGAGGAUGAGAAGGAAAUCCUCCAUAUCAGUGCAAAAAGUGCAAUUGUUUUUGUCGUAGUGGCCUCAGCUUUUCUGCUAUUACUAUACUUCUUUAUCUCUUCGUGGUUUGUGUGGGUGCUAAUUGUACUUUUCUGCAUUGGAGGCGUUGAGGGAAUGCAUAGUUGCAUAGUUUCACUAAUCACAAGAAAAUGGAGAAGCUGUGGGCAGAAGACAGUGAAUCUGCCACUUCUAGGAGAAGUUUCCAUUCUCUCUUUUGUUGUGUUGAUUUUCUGUGUGGGUUUUGCCAUCUCCUGGGCUGCUACUCGGAAGUCAUCUUACUCUUGGAUUGGACAAGACAUUCUUGGCAUUUGUUUGAUGAUAACUGUCUUGCAAUUGGUUCAAUUACCAAAUAUAAAGGUUGCCACAGUCCUUCUGUGUUGCGCAUUCCUGUACGAUAUCUUUUGGGUAUUCCUAUCUCCAUUUAUAUUCCACGACAGUGUUAUGAUUGCGGUUGCUGAAGGUGAUAGAAGUGGCGGAGAGUUAAUUCCCAUGCUUCUGCGAGUUCCUCGAUUUUCUGACCCUUAUUACGGCUAUAACAUGAUUGGCUUUGGAGACAUUCUUUUCCCCGGUUUGCUAGUUUCUUUUGCUUUUAGAUAUGACAAAGACAAUAAGAGGGGAAUACUGAAUGGAUAUUUUCUCUGGUUGACAAUCGGCUAUGGAGUUGGACUGUUGUUUACUUACCUAGGGCUGUAUUUGAUGAAUGGACAGGGUCAACCCGCCCUUCUGUACCUGGUCCCGUGCACACUGGGAACUUUCAUAGUGUUGGGUAUGAUAAGACGUGAAUUGAAACGGCUUUGGACUUAUGGCCCUGAUUCAGGAGCAACCGUUCCUCCCUCAGGAGAAGUUUGAUGCAGGAAGGAAUGGACAGGAGUUGUGGAAUCAAUUUUAUUUUUUUUACGACGUGGGAAUCUGCAGCUGCUACCCAAAAGUACGCACUGGGUAAACCUCCGGUCGAACCUAAUAACUUACAAACUAGGCCCGACAGGCAAGUCACACUAUAUGUGGCAGGGUAUUAGGUUCGGUCGGAGUUUAUCCAGUACGCACUUUCGGGUAACGGCUGCGGGUUCCCACGUUAUAAAUUUUUUUUAACAUUAUCACAUGAUAUUGAUCCAUGGUGGAUGUCAUUUUCCGAGCAGGUUGUUGUCUGAAAGUUAGGCACUUUUUAUGUAAGGGUUGUAUUUGGAAUUCUUGCCAAGUUGGUGAAAAAUAAUAAGAACACGGAUAAGGGAAUUCCAAUGACAGAUUAGAUCUAGCUAAUGAGUCCAUUUAUAUCA